Molecule: small RNA, 393 nt
Filed under: Arabidopsis thaliana (thale cress)
Lineage: Eukaryota; Viridiplantae; Streptophyta; Magnoliopsida; Brassicales; Brassicaceae
Description: ATSL213980
Source: RNAcentral
UCUUUUUUCCUCUAUAAACCUUUUUCUUUUUCUAGUUUUGGUAUGUGUGGAACUUUACCUUUUUGUGUAUAUUUAAGGAUUGAUUAGUUCUUCUGCUAUCAUCUGCAAAUGAUAUGGUUGCGGGCAAUCGCAAUUGUUAACGUUUAAAAUAAUCGUAAAAAACAUUUUAAACCCUUCGGGACCACUCUAAAACUUUUGAAAUCGUGUUUGCAGUUGCAGGUGGUAGCGGUUGAAAUAAAAUAAAAUUAUCCAAACCGUUUAUUCAUUAAUAUAAAAUACACAAACAACCUAUAUUUUAAAAAAACAGUAUCAAACCCUAUAUAAUAUUAACAUUAAUUCUCAAAAUCCUAAUAUUUUUCUCUAUCAAAAUCAUAUAGUCAACUCAUAAGAAUG